Molecule: long non-coding RNA, 607 nt
Filed under: Homo sapiens (human)
Lineage: Eukaryota; Metazoa; Chordata; Mammalia; Primates; Hominidae
Description: novel transcript
Source: RNAcentral
ACAGCUGACCCUAGCCUCCACCUUCACUGUCACGCUGCUCUUUGGCUCCGACCCUCCUGCCACCCCUUGUGAAUAUUCAGGUGCCAGGGCCCUCUCCAUCUCAACAUCUCUACUCACCCUGCAAAGCCCCUUGAGCCACAGGAGGUCACAUGUCCACAGCUUCCAGGGACAAGGGUGUGGACAUUUUGGAGGAGCCAUGAUGCUGCCUCCCACACCUCCGUUCGAACAUUAUCACAGCCCAGACAGAUUCUCCUGCAGCCUGGGGCCUGGAAUGCAAAGGCCACUGGGGCCAAAUCAGCUGCACGGAGCUGAGCCAGCAGAGCCGCAGGCAGCAGCCGCCCUGUGAGCAGCUGGGAACCACUGAGAAGUGGAGAUGUUUGUCAUAGCAGCAGCAGCUGGCAGAUACUUGCUAUCCACACACCCUGGGCACACAUGGGCACCAAGGCUGGGGGCGACAGAACUUUACACUGUGGGAUUCUCUCCUGACAGCCAAGAAGGGGGUUUUCCCUUCUACCAUGAAGAACUUCCCCGGAGGUCUCCCCACAUCUAAUAAUUAGGAAGAUAACGUGGUCAUCAACAAUAAAAGCUGCCCAGGCAGGCGCCUGCA